AACCAGCAUUGUACGAGUUCGAAUGGUACCUAUACAUACCUACUAAAUAGCCUCUUUCAUUGACCAGUUAGAACCAAUGUUACAGCGUCCUAAACCCAUCCACUGGGCUAAAGAAAAAGUCAAAACUAAUAAAAAAUCCUCCUAUUCAAUUUGAUACUCCAAGAUCAAUACAGUUCAUCUUAAAUCACUCUUUAGCAGCUAUCAUCUCCUAAUUCACCACUAGUCCAAAAUCCUAGGUAAAGCUAUCAUAAAAGCUAUAUUACUCACCAAAAUAACCAAUACUUGUCUUCUAAAGGUUCGGAUCCAAUUAAGUGUAAAUG
Molecule: long non-coding RNA, 320 nt
Filed under: Carica papaya (papaya)
Lineage: Eukaryota; Viridiplantae; Streptophyta; Magnoliopsida; Brassicales; Caricaceae
Description: long non-coding RNA (CPAP_LNC010301)
Source: RNAcentral